Molecule: small RNA, 100 nt
Filed under: uncultured Clostridium sp.
Lineage: Bacteria; Bacillati; Bacillota; Clostridia; Eubacteriales; Clostridiaceae
Description: RT-5 RNA
Rfam family: RT-5 RNA
About the family: Clostridium (Firmicutes). Environment (Cow rumen (57))
Source: RNAcentral
UUGCGCCUGCGGAAGAUCCGGCACAGACCUGAAAUUACGCUUCGCAGGCAGCUGGUCUGUGUACGAUCCGGUACAUUCCCACCGGGAAUUUAAUGAUUUU